UACGGAAGUGAGGCUGCUUCCUAUGAAAUCUUGGGCAAGUUUCUAGAGCGUUCACUAUACUGGGAUACAAGCACAUGGCCGUAAUGUGCUGGCUUUUUAAACUUCACCUUAAUAAAGUUAUGUGUGUGGUGUUGUCAGAGAUAGAGUUCAAAACUAUAAGGUACUCUAAUAUAAUCUGGAUCACUAACACUAUGUACAGGUUCAAGUUGAGAAACACAUUUACUUAUGCAUAGCUUUAUGAUAUGUUGCUUGAUAUAUGGCUUUAAACAAAAACAAGUGGGGGAUUGUUAGAGCAGUUAUGUUUUUAUUUAAAUAUUUUAAAUAUAUUUAUGAUUUGUUUUAUUACAAACAUUGAAUAUAAAACGUAAAUUGUUAUUAA
RNAcentral lists this long non-coding RNA (379 nucleotides) under Malus domestica (apple). Its description in RNAcentral is "long non-coding RNA (MDOM_LNC017356)". Lineage: Eukaryota; Viridiplantae; Streptophyta; Magnoliopsida; Rosales; Rosaceae. The record is from RNAcentral.